ACAUCAUUGAUUAAUUAAGAAUUUACGAAUUUGCGCAGAAAGAAGCUUCGGACAUUCCUGCUAUAAAAAAUCUCAAGGACUUCACACCGCCGCGAAAAAAGAAAAAAGCAUCGGUUGUGGUCUAUGCAUUGCCGGAAAAUACAACUUAAGAAGGAUUCGGGUGCUAAUCACGUGCACAAUUUUGCACCUUGUGAUCAUCCUGGCCGUCAGUGUGAUAAUUCAUGCCCAUGUAUACAAGCACAAAACUUCUGCGAGAAGUUUUAUCAGUGCAGCAACGAAUGCCAGAACAGAUUUCCUGAGUGUAGGUGCAAGGCGCAAUGCAAUACAAAGCAGUGUCCUUGUUAUCUGGCUGUCAGGGAAUGUGAUCCGGAUCUUUGCCAAACAUAUGGUGCAGAUAAUUUCCAAAUCAAUUCUAAAUCUUGCAAAAAUGUCAGCGUGCAACGUGGUCUUCAUAAGUUUCGAAAAAUUUAAUUCAUUAGAGUGAAAAUCAGUAUAAUCUCAAUGAGUAGAAUUUUUAAUUUGAAAUAUACUUUAUAUAAUUUGAAAAAUCAGCAACGAAGAAUGAAUUCAUCUCAGAAUAUUGUGGCGAAAUUAUCAGUCAAGACAAAGCUGGGGAAGGAGGGGAAAAGUAUAUGAUAAAUAUAUGUGUAGUUUCUUUUUUAAUCUUAACAAUGAUUUUAUUGUAGACGCGACACGGAAAGGGAAUAAAAUAAAGUUCGCUAAUCACUUGAUAAAUCCAAAUUGUUAUGCGAAAGUGAUGAUGGUGAACGGUGAUCAUAGAAUAGGUAUUUUUGUUAAGAGAGCGAUUCAACCUGGUGAAGAAUUCAACCUGAUAUAGACCAACGGAACAAUUAAAAUUCGUCGGUAUCGAGCGAGAAAUGGAGUUUCUCUAUAUGUAUAUAUAUUAUAUGGACUUUUACACGUAUAAAUGGUGCAUCAAGCAAAUACAUACAGCUGAAAUAUUAGAAAGGAAAUAAACACUGCCAGACUUUGUGAUGAUAAUUACUGAGUUUAUUGAGAUUCGAGAGUACAUAUUCAACUCCUGCCCCUAAUCAUGACCCGAUAUAUUAACAAAGGAAAAUUUCGACUCAGUCACU
RNAcentral lists this long non-coding RNA (1097 nucleotides) under Harpegnathos saltator (Jerdon's jumping ant). RNAcentral describes it as "uncharacterized LOC109504178, transcript variant X4". The record is from RNAcentral. Lineage: Eukaryota; Metazoa; Arthropoda; Insecta; Hymenoptera; Formicidae.